AGACACACACACACACACACACACACACACACACACACACACACACACAAUCUCCAGUGUCAAGAGAUUUUAAUGAGGGGAACAAUUAAAGGUGCAAUAUGUAUGAAUUGGCCUUUUGAAUUCAUGCACAAAACAAAUGCAGAACAUGAGCAGGUUAGCCGCUAACUGCUGCUAAUUGUAGCUGCUAACUGUAGCUGCCGUUAGAUUGUUAGCUCAGUUAGCUGUGCAGCCACCGGUGUGGACUGGGAGCUCUGAACACUGGAGAAGUGUUAGCACAGGAGCUUUGGACCAGAAUGGACCAGGGCUAAUUACAAUUAGACCAGGAAAAGAAAGAGCUGUAAAAAAUAAUACAAUUAUCAUUUAUGAAAGGAAGACAAUGUUAGCAGUCUGGCUAUAGUCAGCAACCUGGCUACAGCUAGCAGUCUGGCUACAGUCAGCAGCCUGGCUACAGCUAGCAGCCUGGCUACAGCUAGCAGUCUGGCUAUAGUCAGCAGCCUGGCUACAGCUAGCAGCCUGGCUACAGCUAGCAGCCUGGCUACAGCUAGCAGUCUGGCUACAGUCAGCAGUCUGGUUUGAUCUAUGAACUCUGAUCUCAGGUCUGUGUAAAGUCAGACUCAGUCAGCGGGUCGUAUUACUCAGUCGGCAGGUUCUGAAGCGUCUCUGGUCUGAGAGGAGACACAGAUCAACACAGGAACAGACUGUGACACAACACCUGAGCGUCUCCAUCAGUGAGCGUCUGUGUGUUCGCUCUUGUUUCACCUCGACUUCUCUCCUCACCUUCUUCACCUCCUCCAUCAGCAGCCUCUUCUUCUGUAGUGCAGAGUGUCACCAGUUACUCAGGUUGUUCAUUGUGACCUGCAAAGAGUGACCGGGGAGAACUGUGACUCUGGUGUCAGACUGAACAUCACAGUGAACCGCAUGUUUCAAACCUUCUUCUUGGUCGAGUGUUUUCUUUGUUCAGUGGAGUAAAUUCAUCUCCUGAUUGAACUCACGUGACUGAAGACACAGUUUCCUCUGCAGAUGUUCACUAUUCAGGUGAAACCAAUAAAAGGCUGCAGCUGGUCACUGAUUAGUUUAUUGAGGUGGUGCAGCAGGUGACUGAGGUGUGAGUGUGUGAGCAGCAGGACCUGGACGCUCCAAUCGCUCUGCACCGUCUAUCUCCUCUCUGGGAAAUUAUUCAUCAGUCUCUCUGCUGAGAGCUUUUAACGUCGGUGAGGAGACGCACACGUCUUCAUAAAACCAGAUGAAACAGAUUCCCCAGCCACUCCACAUGAAAGAGAGCGGCCAGAUACUGAACAUCCUCGUGUGGCGCCGUCGUACAUGUAUGCAGGAGAGACGAGGCAGCGGCGGCUCCUCCCGGCCACUCUGUCAAUAUCUGAAGUCAGUUGCGUGAGCUUGAAAAGACAUAAUGCAAUCCUCCUGAUGUGUUACAGAAACCUGCAGUCAGACCGUCUCAUCUCCACUUCACGUCACCUGACAGCUGAUCCUGGAUAAGCAUGCAGCUCACCACCUGAUUUGUCAGUUUACUUCUUUGUCCCCGUGGAGAAAGUCCCCAGACUCCCUUAACAAAUGUGUCAGUUUAGUGAGUUGUUGAGUUAAAACAAACUUUAUAAACUCUGUGAAACUCUG
This is a long non-coding RNA of Acanthopagrus latus (yellowfin seabream), 1629 nucleotides long. RefSeq lists it as uncharacterized. Lineage: Eukaryota; Metazoa; Chordata; Actinopteri; Spariformes; Sparidae. The record is from RefSeq and is a predicted model, not a curated record. The transcript has 2 exons.